GGAGCUCUCAAGUCAAUGGGAAAAAAAGAAAAAAACGUGAACUGAGCUAUCAUGCAAGUCGGGCAACUUUGCAAUCUUAUUUGCGCAGGUAACCAGUCCUCGUAGCCCACCAUAACCUUUGAGCAAAGUGCUUGCGCAUCAUCAACGUCGACGCGAACAGUCGUCCCAUUUGAACAAAAGACGGAAACCUGCCUUUCUUUCCGCAAACAAUGGCCACGUCCUCAAAACGUGCUUGCGAAGGCGGGGGCAUUUCACCGUUUUACAGGGUCCACGGGAUUUUGGCCAACUGUAGCCUGACAUGCAGCAGAGUGUUUCCCAUAUCCGAACGAUUCCUUGUACCUAGUUCUUGGCGUGGUGAGUCUGUUUCCAGUACAAAACUGAUACUAGCUCGCAUCAAUACAGCAGAGGAUAGUAUUUGUGUUCACAUCGCUAUCAACGGGACGCGAAUGCGGUGGUCCGCGAAGACCAUCAAUCUUACGCCAUAUGUUAAGGAGCGCAACCUGCUUCAAAUCUUCCACGGCGAAAACUUUGGCAGGAGAAGGAUGGAAAUAUUAGUUGAGUGUGCGGAGCGUGCCUCUACAGCAGAACUUUUACAGCUGCCACCAAACAAAAGCAUCAUGUCAGUCGAAAAAAGCAAGUCGAUGAUAUCGAAGUCUAUCAAAAGCAACCACGACCACGACGUUGCCAUAAUGACAGAUGUGGUGUGCCUCAACUGCCCCUUGAGCAAGACAAGGAUUGAGGUACCAUGUCGAGGUCGUCUCUGCCAUCAUCUGCAAUGUUUUGAUGGACUGUCUUAUUUGGAAAACAACGAGAGCGCUUGUGGACGGGCGUGGCGUUGCCCAAUCUGCAACGUCGUCGUCGACGACUCAGACCUUGUAAUCGACCAGCUUUGGCUCAACAUGCUUGAGGAAGUGCCGUCCUCCUGCACAGAUGUGGAACUUCAUGAAGACGGUACCUGGGCGGCCGUAAACGCCAAUGACUGGUCGGUCAUAACGGUGGACGACUCGCCGGUGCCAUUGAAGCGGAGGAGACUAGACGAGACAAUUGAUUUAACGGACGAAGUUUAACGCGAUGAGGCGUGAUAUCUAUAUGUAUCAGUAUGUUUUAAUGUAAGUAGGUAUAAUGUAAUAGUGCUCUAGACGUUUUAAAGUGUAGGUCUUCGUAUUUUAAAGGGUUGCAACAAGACGAAAAACAAUGUCAAGCGACCGGAUGAAUAAAUUAGUAACGGUUAGAAACAUUUAUUGUAUUUUAAAGGGUUAAACAUCAAAGUACAUUUAUUUUGUUUUUAUUCAGACGUGACGUUGAAUGACUACAAUAAAGAAAUAUACAAGAUGGC
This is a long non-coding RNA of Ornithodoros turicata, 1336 nucleotides long. RefSeq lists it as uncharacterized. NCBI's taxonomy places the organism in Eukaryota, Metazoa, Arthropoda, Arachnida, Ixodida, Argasidae. The transcript is spliced from 2 exons. The record is from RefSeq and is a predicted model, not a curated record.